CAUGCCGUAAACGAUGAAUGCUAAGUGUUGGAGGGUUUCCGCCCUUCAGUGCUGCAGCUAACGCAUUAAGCAUUCCGCCUGGGGAGUACGACCGCAAGGUUGAAACUCAAAGGAAUUGACGGGGGCCCGCACAAGCGGUGGAGCAUGUGGUUUAAUUCGAAGCUACGCGAAGAACCUUACCAGGUCUUGACAUCUUCUGCCAACCUAAGAGAUUAGGCGUUCCCUUCGGGGACAGAAUGACAGGUGG
Molecule: ribosomal RNA, 247 nt
Filed under: uncultured bacterium
Lineage: Bacteria
Description: partial 16S ribosomal RNA
Rfam family: Bacterial small subunit ribosomal RNA
Source: RNAcentral